GUCAGGCCGGUGCCGGGAUUUGUGGCCGGCCACUGGGGAGUGGGAAGGAAGGGCCUGUCCUUGGCUGUUGGGGCCUCACCUUGGCCCCUGUGGGCAUGACCAUGGCCAUGCUCUUCCCCAGCGAACAGUCCCUCCGUUGGGGAUCCAAGGCUGGCCCCCGAGUCACAGUGCAGACACUUCCCAGGGGAUCAGCUGAGGACCGACUGCCCUUCUGGGAACAAGUGCAGGCGGACAGAGCCAGGGCAGUCCAGGACGGUCACCGCAGGGACAGGAGGACCCGGCUCGUUCUGCACAGUCGGAACACCAGUGGUCACAACUGUCACCGUGGUGUGGGAGGGGGCCGCACUCGCUGGGCAGAGUCCGGUGGUCGAGAGUAUGGGUUAAUGGUGUUGUCCCCUGUCACUCUGGGAAAGGGUCACAUGUCGUGGGGGGCCUGGGGGGACCCAGUGGUCAGAGGAUCUGGCUCCCAUGAGGGUGGAACCCAGCCUGGCAGGUGUGCUGUGCUCCCGUGAAGGCGCUGGCUGCAGGGAAUGGCGCACAGGGGGUGAUCCCCAAACCCCCCCGUCCUUGGGCCUAUACAAGUGGCCCGUGCCUUUAUAGGAAGACUUCCUUGAAGAAAACAGGAAUAUCACACCCCCAGGACCUGUUUGUGUCCCUCUCGGAGCUAAGUAGUGACAUAACCUGUUGGGGACAUGGUGGCCCAGUGCAGGGCAGAGGGGAUUCGGGUCUCAGGACCCAGGACCUCAUCCCGGGCAGGUUAAGGGGAGCUCAUUGACUGUGGGGGCUUUCCUGAGGUCUGGGACUCGGACCCAGAAGGUGGUGAGGUCACGGCGCCGUGAAGACGGUUAGAAGCGUGAGAGGUGCUUUUGAAAAGGGCAGACCGUCACGAGGGCCACAGCGGAUGUUGGGAAGGGGCCGGGCGGCAGGGGGUGGGCUCCUCAGGUGGCCUGGAGGAUACACCGUGCAGCCCAGCCGUCAGGAGCACACUCGGAGAGGCACCGGCUCUGUGGGGAGUUUCCAGGCUUACGGCAGAUUUCAGACCCAGAACCCAGAGAAUAAAAGGGGGCCGGGUCCUCGGGAAGCAGACUUCGCAACAUCAGGUAAGUCUGCGCCCCGGGGAGGGUGCCAGGCCUUCCCGUGACCCCGUAACUGAACACAGGGGAGGGGACACGCCCGAGCAUUUGAGGGCUGUGGACACGAGGUUCCAGCUGACGCCAGUAACCUGAGGCCCGAAGCGUCGCCGUGGCUCCCCUGUUAGGGUCAGGGGCUCAAAUGUGAUUGUGGCCGGGGUCUGGUCCCUGCCUUUGUCUACACGGGCACCUGAUGGCCGUUUCCCCACGCCCAGAAUGGACAGGUGGAGUGGACAUACUUGGUGGCCAGCCUCGUUCCCUUGGCCACCGUGAGGGACAAGCCCCACGGAAGCGUCCACAACUGCCCCCGACCCAGAUAGUCAGAAACAGCAGGACUUCGCGGGCAGUGACGCGGUUAAAGACUGCCGGGUGCAGGCUGGUGCUGCCACAUGUCUACACCCGCCAGUCUGACCGCGGCCAGAGGCCGGUGGUGGCGGCUCCGGGAGGACAGCUGGAAACACUGGGCCGCACCGCCCUCCGUCCCGAUGAGGAAGGGAAUCCAAAACCGUUUUCGGAGAGACCGUGUGGUCCCCCCGCCACCGUGACUCUCCUGCCCAGGGUCCCCGGCCCAGCACACCUGUCCCCCGGAUCGACAACCCUGUGAAUCAGCACAGCGAGGUCUUCGCAGGACACGCGCUCUCCGGGGAGAGGUCAGGGGCCUGAGGCGCACGGGGCCCCCUCGGGCAGAGGACGGGGAGCGCAGACCUGGGGGCUUCGGGGUGCCGGAGCGGUGUGCACCCCUGAAUUGUGCUCCAGUGCCAGUGCCGCGGAAGGCCAGCGCUGCGCGGGGCCCGCUGCGUUGAGCUAAGGGGCUCCAGGGCGGCUGGUGUCUCCGGCAGAAGGGGCCUGGCUCCGGGCCUAAGUGGCCCGCCUGGCACGGGACCGCGGCGGGCUAGUCGGCGCUGGCUUUCUCAGACCUGCCCUGUCAAGAGGUCGGGCACGUGGGGUGAGACGUGGCAAGGCCACAGGUCAGUGGCACGCUGCAGGCACGGGUGGUCCGGACCUGCGUGGGCUCCACCCGUGUGACGCCCGUGGGCGGCCCCUGCCCCUUCGUCAGUCCCACCGCUCCCACGUGCGGCCUCCCAGGAACUCCUGUGACCAGCGGGGGAGGAGGAGAAGCUCCGUCACGGUCCAGGGACGGCUGGCACCGUAUGUGGGCACAAGUGGACGAUGACAGUGGCGGAGGGGGCCCGUGGGCAAGCGGCCCAGCUGGCCAGUCAGAGGCGUGGAGGAG
Long non-coding RNA from Herpailurus yagouaroundi (jaguarundi), 2364 nucleotides. RefSeq lists it as uncharacterized. The record is from RefSeq and is a predicted model, not a curated record. The transcript has 2 exons. NCBI's taxonomy places the organism in Eukaryota, Metazoa, Chordata, Mammalia, Carnivora, Felidae.